Molecule: ribosomal RNA, 492 nt
Filed under: uncultured bacterium
Lineage: Bacteria
Description: partial 16S ribosomal RNA
Rfam family: Bacterial small subunit ribosomal RNA
Source: RNAcentral
GAGUGAACGCUGGCGGUAGGCCUAACCCAUGCAAGUCGAACGGCAGCACAGUAAGAGCUUGCUCUUACGGGUGGCGAGUGGCGGACGGGUGAGGAAUACAUCGGAAUCUACUUUUUCGUGGGGGAUAACGUAGGGAAACUUACGCUAAUACCGCAUACGACCUACGGGUGAAAGCAGGGGAUCUUCGGACCUUGCGCGAUUGAAUGAGCCGAUGUCGGAUUAGCUAGUUGGCGGGGUAAAGGCCCACCAAGGCGACGAUCCGUAGCUGGUCUGAGAGGAUGAUCAGCCACACUGGAACUGAGACACGGUCCAGACGCCUACGGGAGGCAGCAGUGGGGAAUAUUGGACAAUGGGCGCAAGCCUGAUCCAGCCAUACCGCGUGGGUGAAGAAGGCCUUCGGGUUGUAAAGCCCUUUUGUUGGGAAAGAAAAGCAGCAGGUUAAUACCCCGCUGUUCUGACGGUACCCAAAGAAUAAGCACCGGCUAACUUCGU